AAACUACAAGAACUUGUCUCAGUUCGGAUUGUAGGCUGAAACUCGCCUACAUGAAGCUGGAGUUGCUAGUAAUCGCGAAUCAGCAUGUCGCGGUGAAUACGUUCCCGGGCCUUGUACACACCGCCCGUCACACCAUGAGAGUUGGCAAUACCCAACGUACGUGAUCUAACCCGCAAGGGAGGAAGCGUCCUAAGGUAGGGUCAGCGAUUGGGGUGAAGUCGUAACAAGGUACC
RNAcentral lists this ribosomal RNA (233 nucleotides) under uncultured bacterium. RNAcentral describes it as "partial 16S ribosomal RNA". It matches the Rfam family "Bacterial small subunit ribosomal RNA", at positions 1270 to 1500 of the family's 1533-position model. The record is from RNAcentral.